AUUGAACGCUGGCGGCAUGCUUUACACAUGCAAGUCGAACGGCAGCGCGGGCUUCGGCCUGGCGGCGAGUGGCGAACGGGUGAGUAAUGCAUCGGAACGUGCCCAGUAGUGGGGGAUAGCCCGGCGAAAGCCGGAUUAAUACCGCAUACGACCUGAGGGUGAAAGCGGGGGACCGAAAGGCCUCGCGCUAUUGGAGCGGCCGAUGUCGGAUUAGCUAGUUGGUGGGGUAAAGGCUUACCAAGGCGACGAUCCGUAGCUGGUCUGAGAGGACGACCAGCCACACUGGGACUGAGACACGGCCCAGACUCCGACGGGAGGCAGCAGUGGGGAAUUAUGGACAAUGGGGGCAACCCUGAUCCAGCCAUGCCGCGUGCGGGAAGAAGGCCUUCGGGUGGUAAACCGCUUUUGUUCGGGAAGAAAUCCUCUGGGCUAAUACCCCGGGGGGAUGACGGUACCGGAAGAAUAAGCACCGGCUAACUACGG
This 483-nucleotide ribosomal RNA is filed under the name uncultured bacterium. RNAcentral describes it as "partial 16S ribosomal RNA". It matches the Rfam family "Bacterial small subunit ribosomal RNA", at positions 29 to 506 of the family's 1533-position model. The record is from RNAcentral.